This 497-nucleotide ribosomal RNA is filed under the name uncultured bacterium. RNAcentral's name for it is "partial 16S ribosomal RNA". It matches the Rfam family "Bacterial small subunit ribosomal RNA", at positions 28 to 507 of the family's 1533-position model. The record is from RNAcentral.
GAUGAACGCUGGCGGCGUGCCUAAUACAUGCAAGUCGAGCGAACAGACGAGGAGCUUGUGCCUCUGACGUUAGCGGCGGACGGGUGAGUAACACGUGGAUCACCUACCUAUAAGACUGGGAUAACUUCGGGAAACGGGAGCUAAUACCGGAUAAUAUAUUGAACCGCAUGGGUCAAUAGUGAAAGACGGCUUUGCUGUCACUUAUCGAUGGAUCUGCGCCGCAUUAGCUAGUUGGUAAGGUAAAGGCUUAUCACGGCAACGAUGCGUAGCCGACCGGAGAGGGUGAUCGGCCACAUGGGAACGGAGACAGGGUCCAGACUCCUACGGGAGGCAGCAGUAGGGAAUCUUCCGCAAUGGGCGAAAGCCUGACGGAGCAACGCCGCGUGAGUGAUGAAGGUCUUCGGAUCGUAAAGCUCUGUUAUGAGGGAAGAACAAAUGUGUAAGUAGCUAUGCACGUCUUGACGGUACCUGAUCAAAAAGCCACGGCUAACUACGUG